This is a long non-coding RNA of Formica exsecta, 1269 nucleotides long. RefSeq lists it as uncharacterized. NCBI's taxonomy places the organism in Eukaryota, Metazoa, Arthropoda, Insecta, Hymenoptera, Formicidae. The record is from RefSeq and is a predicted model, not a curated record. The transcript is spliced from 3 exons.
ACACCGAGUCCGCUCGCGCAUUCGCAUUAAAUUUCGAAUCCGCGCGGCGCGCGUGCACCUCACCACCACGCGUCGUCCAUCCUCCCUCUCUCUCUCUCUCUUUCUCUCUCUCUCUUUUUUUCCCUCCUCUCCUCACCAAUCCCCCUCGUCGGUGACGCGUCUUCAGCGCCAGUUUCUCGCGAGGGAUUUUCAAAUCAGCGCCGCGCGCGUGAUCGAGUGCGAGUGCACGUGUCCGUCUCGCAUCGUCCUUCGGCGAUUGUCGUCGGUUCUUCGGCGAGGGUGUCAUCGGGCGAGAGGAGAUAUGCCCGUCGUUGUCGGUCGCGUCGCGUACGAGUCGCUCGCAUCGAAGGAAGAAGGGAAGAACGUGUGAUUGUUGCGUGCGUAGCGUGCAGGUUAUGGAUCAAGAGGGAUUAUAAUCGGCGCGAUUACGGUGAGCUUGAAUUGUCGAUGCUACGAGUACUUAUGCGAGAAACGAGCCUCGCGCGAAUUAAAAGGAUCCGGUUCGGAUCGCGUUUACUGCAUCCUCGAAAAGAUUCGCAUCUGCGAGUCUUUUGUUGCGAGUGAAGUGAGAAACAGAUCUGUGACGCGGAGAUUCGCGCGCGAUAUAGAAGGCGCAUUUUUCUCGUAUCUAUCUGUGGCAUCGAUGAUCGGAUUCGCCGAAAAGUUACACCGGCUUUAAUCUCGAUUAGAGAGAAUUUUCCCGGAGAACCGUGUGUCCUAAGUGCUAGGAGAAGAAGGAGAUAACGAAGGAAAGAAUCUCGCGGGGACACUUGCACCUUUUUAACGAUAUAACCUUAUCGACAAACAUAAAAGGAGAAACGGCAUCCGUAUGAGAUUACACCAAGAAGAGAACGCAAAGAGUCAAGUCUCGCAAAAUUCGACGAUCGUGAAUCGCAUUGUACGAGGGGACAAAUCAUCUCUCUCCUGAUAGUGUGUUGAUGUGCAGUGAUCAUACGGAAAUUGCAUACGGAAUCACGCGGAAGCGAGAAAACAGCUGCCGGAAAUCUCACGCCGGAAAAAGAAGCACGCAAAACGUCAAUCUAUCGCCGCGAAACGGCGUCUGUGUGCAUCAUACGUGUGGAGAGGAGAACAGCUUUACAUCAGACGACUUCCACGUUCGUCAUCGUGAUGAUGUUGAAGACCUCGCCGGCCGUAGCGAUGGAAACAUGAGGACCGUGAUAGAUCGCGCAUCCAAUCGACGAAACUUCACUCCUACUAACUAUAAAUGACCGAUGUGACGCAACCAGUCAGGAAUAUUUUUAUGCAAAA